This 30-nucleotide non-coding RNA is filed under the name Rattus norvegicus (Norway rat). The record is from RNAcentral. Lineage: Eukaryota; Metazoa; Chordata; Mammalia; Rodentia; Muridae.
UCAUUUUCAGCAUAACAAUAAUGUCGGCCU